AUUGAACGCUGGCGGCAUGCUUUACACAUGCAAGUCGAACGGCAGCGCGGGCUUCGGCCUGGCGGCGAGUGGCGAACGGGUGAGUAAUACAUCGGAACGUGCCCAGUAGUGGGGGAUAGCUCGGCGAAAGCCGGAUUAAUACCGCAUACGACCAGAGGGUGAAAGCGGGGGAUCUUCGGACCUCGCGCUAUUGGAGCGGCCGAUGGCAGAUUAGCUAGUUGGUGGGGUAAAGGCCUACCAAGGCGACGAUCUGUAGCUGGUCUGAGAGGACGACCAGCCACACUGGGACUGAGACACGGCCCAGACUCCUACGGGAGGCAGCAGUGGGGAAUUUUGGACAAUGGGCGAAAGCCUGAUCCAGCAAUGCCGCGUGUGUGAUGAAGGCCUUCGGGUUGUAAAGCACUUUUGGCGGGAACGAAAAGGACUGUGCCAAUACCACGGUUCGAUGACGGUACCCGCAGAAUAAGCACCGGCUAACUACGUG
RNAcentral lists this ribosomal RNA (484 nucleotides) under uncultured bacterium. Its description in RNAcentral is "partial 16S ribosomal RNA". It matches the Rfam family "Bacterial small subunit ribosomal RNA", at positions 29 to 507 of the family's 1533-position model. The record is from RNAcentral.